Molecule: long non-coding RNA, 1452 nt
Organism: Mytilus californianus (California mussel)
Lineage: Eukaryota; Metazoa; Mollusca; Bivalvia; Mytilida; Mytilidae
Exons: 3
Source: RefSeq, a predicted model, not a curated record
AAAAGUAAAAGAUAAAAACAUAUACGCUGUGUAUAAUGACGACUGCUUUAUGUGAUGUCCAGCAGAAAUUAGUAUGUCUGUUGUCCUAUAAGAUUAAAGGUUUUAGUUACGGGAUUAAUUAAUUUUGUUACAAUAUCAAGGGCUUCUUCACCAGAGACACUUAAACAGCAUUAUAUAUUCUUUCAGAUGUUGAAUACAGUAAUUAUAGACAUGUAUAAAGGUUUGAUAUACAUUAAGUAUACUUGGCGGUGAUCACGAGAGUUGGCAUUCUCAUACGAGGGCAUAUUUUGAAAUUGUAAAAAAAAUCAUUCAUGGUAUACGUUAUAUUACACGAAGCAAAAGUCUAUUUCAAUAAUCUUUCAAAUUUAACAUUGAUUAAAUGGAAAUUGAGAGAAAAUUAACAUAUAUUAAAACAUAUGAUGCCAAAUUAAAUUUCUGGAGUAUAACACGCAUUUUAUUAUAUCUUCAUUUAGUGUUGUUCACAAUGACAAUGUUUGUUCUCUAUCAUAUAGUUAUUGCGUAAACAUAAGAACCAUCAUCUAAUCCAGUAGAACAUAGAACUGUUCUCUACCCCUUACAAGGGAACCUUCAUUGUGAGUCUAAGAUGUGCAGAUAAAACGAACACUGUAACUUUGUCUUAUAGAAAAGAAUGGACGACAAAGAUAUCAAUCUGCGAAUCUUUGAUUUUUACAUUUCCCACAAUUAAGAUAUGUAAAAAGUGUUCACUGAAGAAAAGUCUCGAGGACGCCAUAAUUAAAUGGUCAUAUACUACAAAGAGGAUAUGCACCUGUUUGAAGAACCCCUAUAGCGGAGGAAUAUACUGAAAACUGGCAACGACUUUGUAUAUUUACAUACGUACGCAACAACGUAAAUAUUUACAUGGGAAACCUCCCUCGUGUAUAUUUUUUCUCGUUUUUCGCAUCAAGUGAUUGUAAGAUUCAAACUGCAACUGCUGUCCAGUUCGAGUUGAGAACAAGCGAAGAUAAUUCAGUGUCACAAUUCAACAUAUUGAUGAAGGGUGCAGGAGAUCAGCCGUAUGAAUGCCCUUUCAACCUAAUUAAAGAUUUUUUUACCAUAAGCCAACAUUUUUCGUAAUAGCAACACAAGAAUGUCGACACAAAACAGGUCAUUAAAGACUUCAAGCUUUCAAUUUGAUACACACGACACGCGUUUCGUCUACAUAAAGCUUAUCAGUGGCAGUGGAGAAAUAGUUGGGUGGCCAAAUUAAACGUUGAAGACCAUGAAAACCAAAAUUUCGAAGAGUUGUGCCAAUUAAGGCUAAGGACAUCUAUGCUUGGGGAAAGAAAACCAUAGUGUUUCGAAUAAUUCAACAUUUUAUAAACAGUAAGUUUACAGAAAAUGAACAUAUCAAUGAUAGUUUAUGUUGACAAAUAGGGUACACAAACUGUUGACAACUUGGCUAGAAAUAUCCUGGAAACAAAAAGUCCCACC